Molecule: long non-coding RNA, 1160 nt
Filed under: Dromaius novaehollandiae (emu)
Lineage: Eukaryota; Metazoa; Chordata; Aves; Casuariiformes; Dromaiidae
Description: lncRNA (ENSDNVG00000008195.1)
Source: RNAcentral
UUUGAAAGGGCUAGUAACACCAUCUUUUUUGAGGUCACUGAGUACUUCCUGUUGUAAGUACCUAUUUUCAGUUGCUUAUAACCUUGUGAAAAUUUCACAGUUGGAGCUGAAGUUUUCCACACUGGCUAUCUGUCUCAGCUGAUUUGUGAGUAGGAAGUGUCAGACAUUUCUGAAACAUGUUGAAAAGUGUCUAGAAAAAAGGAGAAUUGAACAACUGGUAUUGUCUGCAUUAAUGUUUCUGGUGAUUUUUUUCUUGGAAAUGCUCUAAUACGUCCUUGUUUUGCAGGGAUUUGUGAGGAAGUAGCCAAAUUAUAAAUCUUUGAGUAUUUGUAUUUUGUACAAUAUUGAAUGGACCGCUUGUUUUUACCAACCAAAUAUCCUAAUGAUUUUGUCAGCACUGAAGAUGGAGCAAGAGGAAAAAAAAUGCUGCUUGUGGGUUGUGCUGCAGAUUGUGCUGUCCUGCUCUCUGAAUUCAGGCUCUGCUUCUUUCGUGUUUAUAGAGGUCACCCCAUGGGCCCAAACAGCUGGGAGAAGGAAAACGCUUCUGGGAAGAGCAAGAGCUUUAUGAAGAUGGGUCCUGUUGAUUGUCAUUUCACGGAUGAAAAGUAUGAGAACAGAGAUAUACAAUGACAGACCUUCUAAGUGACCUUGAGUAAAUGGAAGAACCAGAAGUACAUACAUUUCUUGCUCUUUUCCUGACCUUUCUUUCCCUAGAUUUAUGUAUUGGUUGCUUCUGCUUUGAGGAGUGAAAAAUGUGACAUCUAAAGGGCUUUUUGAACCAUGUGUGCGCUAUGUUAAAAUGCAAAUUCUGUGUUUGCAGAUUAAGAAAGUGAUCUAGUUCAUUUCUUAAGAGAUGAAGAUUCCAGAAAGUCAAACCUGAAUAGAGAACAAAAAAUAGUAUCACCACCUUCCUGAGUAGGUUUUGCUUUGGUGUCUGUCUUCUAGAGUGAAAUGAGUAUUUAACUAAAUGUUUUUUAUUAACUUCACAGAAAUGAAAACAGGAAGGUUCCUCUUUAAUGUWAGGUAAACAUAUUUUUUAGAAAGACUUGAUUCCCUUUUCAGUAUCCAGUAAUCAAAUGUUAAUUGCCCAAAUUUAAAACUAAUAUUUACCAUCAUCAAAAUUAUCAUCAAUCAGUAAUAAAUUUCCAGGCAUACAGACA